GCCCCCCUCAAGAUGAGAUUUCCCAAGUCAGUAAGACCCCUUGAAGACGACGAGGUAGAUAGGUUGGAGGUGGAAGCACGGCAACGUGUGGAGCUGACCAAUACUAAUCGGUCGAGGGCUUAUCCAAAA
RNAcentral lists this ribosomal RNA (129 nucleotides) under Paenibacillus riograndensis. RNAcentral describes it as "partial 23S ribosomal RNA". It matches the Rfam family "Bacterial large subunit ribosomal RNA", at positions 2792 to 2925 of the family's 2925-position model. The record is from RNAcentral. Lineage: Bacteria; Bacillati; Bacillota; Bacilli; Caryophanales; Paenibacillaceae.